CAAAAGUCCUCAUCACAGAUAAUGGAAGGCAAUUCGACAAUCCCCAGUUCAAGAACUUCUGCGCCUGCAAUGGGAUUGAUCAUCGCUUGACCUCGGUCUCAUACCCACAAAGUAAUGGGUUAGCCGAAGUAACUAAUCGGAUCAUAUUGCAGGACUUCCGAACAAGGAUAGGGGACGCCAAAGGUGACUGGCCUGACAUGCUGCCUUCGAUACUAUGAGCAUAUAGGACUUCACACAAGACAACAACUAGUGAAACGCCAUUUAUGCUUGCUUUUGGACUUGAGGCUACCAUUCCCAUUGAGGUUAGCCUCCCCACAAUAAGAAAGCUCAAGACAAAUAAGGAGACACAAACUACCAAGCAUCUGGACUUACUUGAAGAGGUAAGGGAGGAAGCUUCCCUUAGGACUGUAAUUACCAAAACAGAACAGCAAAGCACUUCAACAAGAAGGUCAAGAACAGGAGAUUUAGAGCCGGCAAUCUUGUCCUAAGGAAAGCAAAAGCCACCGGGCACCAACUAGGGAAACUUGGGCCGACAUGGGAGGGACCCUACGAGGUCAUAAGAAAACUUAAAGGUGGAGCCUAUAGCCUCAGAGAUACAUCGGGGAAUCCACUUCCAAGGCCAUGGAACGCCAACAAUCUGAAAAUAUAUUACAAGUGAUUAGCUAUAGCUAUAAUUUUCCUUUAGGGCUUGCAUGCCCGCUUCAUGUUUUCUUAAUUUCAUUUUUACUUUUCGG
Molecule: long non-coding RNA, 734 nt
Filed under: Olea europaea subsp. europaea
Lineage: Eukaryota; Viridiplantae; Streptophyta; Magnoliopsida; Lamiales; Oleaceae
Source: RNAcentral